RNAcentral lists this ribosomal RNA (701 nucleotides) under Pediococcus pentosaceus. RNAcentral's name for it is "bacterial SSU rRNA". It matches the Rfam family "Bacterial small subunit ribosomal RNA", at positions 56 to 713 of the family's 1533-position model. Lineage: Bacteria; Bacillati; Bacillota; Bacilli; Lactobacillales; Lactobacillaceae. The record is from RNAcentral.
UGCAGUCGAACGAACUUCCGUUAAUUGAUCAUGACGUGCUUGCACUGAAUGAGAUUUUAAUACGAAGUGAGUGGCGGACGGGUGAGUAACACGUGGGUAACCUGCCCAGAAGCAGGGGAUAACACCUGGAAACAGAUGCUAAUACCGUAUAACAUAGAAAACCGCCUGGUUUUCUUUUAAAAGAUGGCUCUGCUAUCACUUCUGGAUGGACCCGCGGCGCAUUAGCUAGUUGGUGAGGUAACGGCUCACCAAGGCGAUGAUGCGUAGCCGACCUGAGAGGGUAAUCGGCCACAUUGGGACUGAGACACGGCCCAGACUCCUACGGGAGGCAGCAGUAGGGAAUCUUCCACAAUGGACGCAAGUCUGAUGGAGCAACGCCGCGUGAGUGAAUAAGGGUUUCGGCUCGUAAAGCUCUGUUGUUAAAGAAGAACGUGGGUGAGAGUAACUGUUCACCCAGUGACGGUAUUUAACCAGAAAGCCACGGCUAACUACGUGCCAGCAGCCGCGGUAAUACGUAGGUGGCAAGCGUUAUCCGGAUUUAUUGGGCGUAAAGCGAGCGCAGGCGGUCUUUUAAGUCUAAUGUGAAAGCCUUCGGCUCAACCGAAGAAGUGCAUUGGAAACUGGGAGACUUGAGUGCAGAAGAGGACAGUGGAACUCCAUGUGUAGCGGUGAAAUGCGUAGAUAUAUGGAAGAACACCAGU